GCCAGAGGGGGCAAGCGUUGCUCGGAAUCACUGGGCGUAAAGGGCGCGUAGGCGGGCUGGCAAGUCGGUCGUGAAAUCCUUCGGCUCAACCGAAGAACGUCGGCCGAUACUGCCGUUCUUGAGGGAUGCAGAGGAGAUUGGAAUUCCCGGUGUAGCGGUGAAAUGUGUAGAGAUCGGGAGGAACACCGGUGGCGAAGGCGGGUCUCUGGGCAUCUCCUGACGCUGAGGCGCGAAAGCGUGGGGAGCAAACGGG
This 253-nucleotide ribosomal RNA is filed under the name uncultured bacterium. RNAcentral's name for it is "partial 16S ribosomal RNA". It matches the Rfam family "Bacterial small subunit ribosomal RNA", at positions 524 to 776 of the family's 1533-position model. The record is from RNAcentral.